AAAUGCUGUUGUUCACCAAGUACACCCCUUCAUGGAAACGGGUUCCCUGAUGGCAGUGGCCUCUUUCAGCAGGAUAAUGUGCCCUGCCUCGCUGCAAAAAUGGUUCAAGAAUGGAUUGAAGAACACAACAAGGAGUUUGAAGAGUUGACUUGGCCACCAAAUUCUCCAGAUCUCAAUUCAGUCAUUGGAAAAACAGGUCCAAUCCAAGGAUGCACCAACUCACAAUUUACAGGACUUAAAGUAUCUGCUGUUGACGGCUUGGUGCCAGAAACCACAGCAAACCUUCAAAGGUCAAGUGGAGUCAAUGAGAUCCCGGUUCAGGGCUACUUUGACUGAAAAAUGGAAACCACCUCAAUAUUAAGCAGGUGGUAAUAAUCUUAUGGCUGACUGGUGUAAAUGUGACAGUUGAGUGAUGGGAAGGGACUGAAGGUCCAGAAGCAUCUGGUGUACUCGUGGAGAAUGGAAAUGAAUGUUGCUGAUGAAGUGGGAAUGUGGCUGGAGGGAGGGACAGAAGGGCCAAGGCAAAGCAAAGACAUCAGCUGCUUUCUCCUGUUGCUUUAAACCUUCUUAUAAACGUGGAACUUUGGCUGUGGAUUAGUUUUGCUGCUCUUUUCUUUGGUAAGACACAAAGAACAACAUGUUUUUAUUCUUCUUCACAUGUUUUCAAUCAUUUCUUCUCAGGUUAACUGUAAUCUAUCUGAUAAUAAAUAUUAAAGCGGUCACAGCAGAUUCACAACAAUUAGCACCUUUUACAUGUCAGGGAACAAAGUGGCUCCUCAUCAGAUGUGAAAGAGGAAACCCGUCAGCUGAAAUAUGUCAUGAUGACGACAUACAAGACAAGUUGUACACGGAAAGGAGAGUGUCAGUAGGAUGUGUUGAGUGUCAGGUUGUCAGUCAGGGGAACAACACAGGGCUGUGAAUGAGCCCUGUCACUGUGAUCAGGCUCCUCCUUCUAAUCCACCAACUUAGUGUUGAUGAAGACCAAACAGAGAGAUCACAGCCUUCUUUAUACUCGCUGGAGCUCACAGUUACUCAGCACUGCAGACAUGACGCCUCUGUUCACCUCACUGUUGCUGGCUGCUAUGUGCUUUGAAUGCAGAGCACAGAAAGACAACGUGCUGCAACCAAAAGAAGAUGUGACUGCUGCUGAAGGAGAGGCAGUAACACUUGGCUGUCAAUAUAACAGCAGUGGAACCAAUAAUUAUCUCUUCUGGUACAAACAGGAGGGAAACAACAGCCCCAAAUUCAUACUGAACCGCAUUAAAGAGAGUUCAGGGAACACACCAGACGAGUUCAAGGAGAGGUUUUCAUCCACACUGGAUUCCACCUUAAGAUCAGUUCCUCUGAAGAUCCAGAAGCUUCAGCUGUCUGACUCUGCUGUGUACUACUGUGCUCUGAGGCCCACAGUGACAGGAAACACCAAAACUCUGUACAAAAACCUUUGGAGCAAAGACAACAGAAUACUCCACAACAUCCACUAGAGGGAGUCACACACUGUUACACUGCAGUGGGAUGUGAUGGUAAAGUCCAGAAUCAUCUGCAAAAGGCACCAGAAAAUGAAGCCUUAAACUUGCAGUGUGUACACAAAUUGAAUGAAGGAUCUCCUGGUCAGCAUCAAAGUCUC
This is a non-coding RNA of Scatophagus argus, 1624 nucleotides long. The record is from the annotation of a RefSeq genome assembly. NCBI's taxonomy places the organism in Eukaryota, Metazoa, Chordata, Actinopteri, Scatophagidae.